UAAUACGGAGAGUGCAAGCGUUGUUCGGAAUUACUGGGCUUAAAGCGCGUGUAGGCGGGAUGACAGGUAUCUUGUGAAAGCCCCGGGCUCAACUCGGGAACGGCAAGGUAAACCGGCAUUCUUGAGGCAGGUAGAGGUGACUGGAACAACUGGUGGAGCGGUGAAAUGCGUAGAUAUCAGUUGGAACGCCGGAGGCGAAAGCGAGUCACUGGACCUGUCCUGACGCUGAGACGCGAAAGCGUGGGUAGCGAACAGGAUUAGAUACCCUGGUAGUCCACGCCGUAAACGAUGCGCACUAGGUAUAAGAGGCUCUGACGCCGAUUGUGCCGAAGCAAAAGUGAUAAGUGCGCCGCCUAGGGAGUACGGCCGCAAGGCUA
RNAcentral lists this ribosomal RNA (377 nucleotides) under uncultured Planctomycetota bacterium. RNAcentral's name for it is "bacterial SSU rRNA". It matches the Rfam family "Bacterial small subunit ribosomal RNA", at positions 521 to 896 of the family's 1533-position model. The record is from RNAcentral. Lineage: Bacteria; Pseudomonadati; Planctomycetota.